This 32-nucleotide non-coding RNA is filed under the name Geobacter sulfurreducens PCA. Lineage: Bacteria; Pseudomonadati; Thermodesulfobacteriota; Desulfuromonadia; Geobacterales; Geobacteraceae. The record is from RNAcentral.
AAAUUAACCACACCGGACCGCUGUUUCUCAAC